CCUACGGGUGGCAGCAGUGAGGAAUAUUGGUCAAUGGACGAAAGUCUGAACCAGCCAUGCCGCGUGCAGGAUGACUGCCCUAUGGGUUGUAAACUGCUUUUGUAUGGGGGUAAAUUGUGAUACGUGUAUCAUUUUGUAUGUACCAUACGAAUAAGGAUCGGCUAACUCCGUGCCAGCAGCCGCGGUAAUACGGAGGAUCCGAGCGUUAUCCGGAUUUAUUGGGUUUAAAGGGAGCGUAGGUGGAUCGUUAAGUCAGUUGUGAAAUUCCGGGGCUCAACCGCAGCAUUGCAGUUGAAACUGGCAGGCUAGAGUACAGUAGAGGUGGGCGGAAUGUGUGGUGUAGCGGUGAAAUGCAUAGAGAUCACGAAGAACUCCGAUUGCGAAGGCAGCUCACUGGAC
Molecule: ribosomal RNA, 399 nt
Filed under: uncultured bacterium
Lineage: Bacteria
Description: partial 16S ribosomal RNA
Rfam family: Bacterial small subunit ribosomal RNA
Source: RNAcentral